Molecule: ribosomal RNA, 253 nt
Filed under: uncultured bacterium
Lineage: Bacteria
Description: partial 16S ribosomal RNA
Rfam family: Bacterial small subunit ribosomal RNA
Source: RNAcentral
UACGUAGGGUGCAAGCGUUGUCCGGAAUUAUUGGGCGUAAAGAGCUCGUAGGCGGCUUGUCACGUCGGCUGUGAAAACCCGGGGCUCAACCCCGGGCCUGCAGUCGAUACGGGCAAGCUAGAGUUCGGCAGGGGAGACUGGAAUUCCUGGUGUAGCGGUGAAAUGCGCAGAUAUCAGGAGGAACACCGGUGGCGAAGGCGGGUCUCUGGGCCGAUACUGACGCUGAGGAGCGAAAGCGUGGGGAGCAAACAGG